Molecule: microRNA precursor, 57 nt
Filed under: Gadus morhua (Atlantic cod)
Lineage: Eukaryota; Metazoa; Chordata; Actinopteri; Gadiformes; Gadidae
Description: Gmo-Mir-92-P1a1_pre stem-loop
Source: RNAcentral
AGGUGGGGCCGAGCAGCAAUGCUGCGUAGCGACGGUAUUGCACUUGUCCCGGCCUGU